RNAcentral lists this ribosomal RNA (111 nucleotides) under Shigella flexneri. Its description in RNAcentral is "partial 16S ribosomal RNA". It matches the Rfam family "Bacterial small subunit ribosomal RNA", at positions 1 to 105 of the family's 1533-position model. Lineage: Bacteria; Pseudomonadati; Pseudomonadota; Gammaproteobacteria; Enterobacterales; Enterobacteriaceae. The record is from RNAcentral.
AAAUUGAAGAGUUUGAUCAUGGCUCAGAUUGAACGCUGGCGGCAGGCCUAACACAUGCAAGUCGAACGGUAACAGGAAGCGCUUGCUGCUUCGCUGACGAGUGGCGGACGG